Molecule: ribosomal RNA, 253 nt
Filed under: uncultured bacterium
Lineage: Bacteria
Description: partial 16S ribosomal RNA
Rfam family: Bacterial small subunit ribosomal RNA
Source: RNAcentral
UACGGGGGGGGCAAGCGUUGUUCGGAAUUACUGGGCGUAAAGGGCUCGUAGGCGGCCAACUAAGUCGGACGUGAAAUCCCCAGGCUCAACCUGGGAACUGCGUCUGAUACUGGAUGGCUUGAAUCCGGGAGAGGGAUGCAGAAUUCCAGGUGUAGCGGUGAAAUGCGUAGAUAUCUGGAGGAACACCGAUGGCGAAGGCAGGUCACUGGGCCGCAACUGACGCUGAGGAGCGAAAGCAUGGGGAGCGAACAGG